Molecule: unclassified non-coding RNA, 280 nt
Filed under: Geomyces sp.
Lineage: Eukaryota; Fungi; Ascomycota; Leotiomycetes; Thelebolales; Pseudeurotiaceae
Description: partial contains 5.8S ribosomal RNA, internal transcribed spacer 2, and large subunit ribosomal RNA
Rfam family: 5.8S ribosomal RNA (bases 1-71)
Source: RNAcentral
GUGAAUCAUCGAAUCUUUGAACGCACAUUGCGCCCCCUGGUAUUCCGGGGGGCAUGCCUGUUCGAGCGUCAUUACAACCCUCAAGCUCUGCUUGGUGUUGGGCCCCGCCGCCCCGGCGGGCCCUAAAAUCAGUGGCGGUGCCGUCCGGCUCCGAGCGUAGUAAUUCUUCUCGCUCUGGAGGUCCGGGUGUGUGCUCGCCAGCAACCCCCAAUUUUUUUCAGGUUGACCUCGGAUCAGGUAGGGAUACCCGCUGAACUUAAGCAUAUCAAUAAGCGGAGGA